AAGCAGAUGGUAACAAACUCUACUUUCAAAAAUUACAUUCCGACAUGAAUGGCCUUUAUGAUUGUGAAGCCUCAAACAUCUAUGGGUCAGCAACAUGUUCAUUGCAGUUUUAUAUAAUUUCAACUUCCAGUGAGUAUUUGUUCAAUUUAAAUUAUUUACUGAUUUCUUAUGUUUUAACCGUUUUAUCAUGUCUAGUUUACUGAGCUGUACUGUAUGCAAUAUAUUUUUUAUAUAUAUAUAUAUAUAAAGAUGUAAAAAAUUUGACAAUAAAUUGUUUGAUUUUAAUUAUGAAUGAAUUAUUUGUUGCAUUGGAUCUGCUAGUUGUAGAUAUGAGGUACAGCAGGAAGUACAUUAUUAGGAAUGUGACGAUCACUUUUGUCAUUUCAGGAGAUAAGUUUUUUUUUUGGAUUCCAUUCACAGUGUUCCUGUGUUUCCUUACAUCUUGCAUAUUCAAUAACAGAUCUGCGCUGAAAAGUAGUGUGACUGCAUUAAUGACCAGGUUUCAGGCUCCAGAUUCAAGAAGGCAGAUUGAAGACUCU
Clupea harengus (Atlantic herring) is the source of this 539-nucleotide long non-coding RNA. RefSeq lists it as uncharacterized. The record is from RefSeq and is a predicted model, not a curated record. NCBI's taxonomy places the organism in Eukaryota, Metazoa, Chordata, Actinopteri, Clupeiformes, Clupeidae. The transcript is spliced from 3 exons.